Long non-coding RNA from Drosophila ficusphila, 612 nucleotides. RefSeq lists it as uncharacterized. The record is from RefSeq and is a predicted model, not a curated record. The transcript is spliced from 2 exons. Lineage: Eukaryota; Metazoa; Arthropoda; Insecta; Diptera; Drosophilidae.
AAAAUUUAAAAAAAAUCGAAAUUUUUUUUUUUUCAUAAAUCGAUGGAAUAACGUCUUAAGGGGACGUUCUCUUUGUUUUGGAUCAAAAAAUCGAUUUUUUUUUUUUUGCAAAAAUUGAAAGCCACAUAUCCUUAGAAUAUGUGUGUGAAAGAAAUUUUCGAUACGAUGAUGCGUCAGGCGCGCUGUGGUAUGCGCUAAAAACUUUAAACGCGUUUUUCUCGAAACCAUGUUUUUCAAAAAAAUUACGCGUCCACAGCUUCAUCCUGUGAACCGAUUUGCUUCAUGUAAAUUUUUUAUGAAAGUAGAUGCUUUUCUUUAGGGCACUAACCUACUCCGGAAAAAAACAAUAAUUUAUUUAUAAUUUUUCAACGUGGGUUAACUGAAAAAAAAUGUACGAAAAUCGAACUUUAAAAUUCGAACGUUAAUUACGCGGUCAAUUUAUGGCCGCAAUUUGAUGCCACUAGAGGCUGCAGGCUCGUAAUUUUGGGACGAUGUUUGCCGCGCGGAGGCAGACGAAAGCCGCCAUUUUGCAGCCGCCAUUUUGAAUUUCACCAUCAAAUAAAUUUUAAAAAAAUCUUGAAUAAUAAACGAAUUCAAAAAGCAAAACCCGAA